UACAGAGGGGGCAAGCGUUGCUCGGAAUUACUGGGCGUAAAGGGCGCGUAGGCGGGAUGGCAAGUCGGUCGUGAAAUACCUCGGCUCAACUGAGGAGCGUCGAUCGAAGCUGCCGUUCUUGAGGGUUGCAGAGGAGACUGGAAUUCCCGGUGUAGCGGUGAAAUGUGUAGAGAUCGGGAGGAACACCGGUGGCGAAGGCGGGUCUCUGGGCAAUUCCUGACGCUGAGGCGCGAAAGCGUGGGGAGCAAACGGG
Molecule: ribosomal RNA, 253 nt
Filed under: uncultured bacterium
Lineage: Bacteria
Description: partial 16S ribosomal RNA
Rfam family: Bacterial small subunit ribosomal RNA
Source: RNAcentral